UAAUUAUGUGUCCAUAAUACGUGUUAUAGGC
This 31-nucleotide non-coding RNA is filed under the name Rattus norvegicus (Norway rat). The record is from RNAcentral. Lineage: Eukaryota; Metazoa; Chordata; Mammalia; Rodentia; Muridae.